CUUGAAAUGAUCCAAAAUGAUGCAGAGCUCAUGGGCUUGAAGUUAAUCCAAGCACCACUGGUUGAUGUAGAAAUUAGAGGAGUUCCUGCCCUAAGAUUCAUGGGAGACAUUGUCUGGAAGUGACAUUGUCUUGAACCGAAAGCCACAUGAAGAUCGACAUCUUGCAAGAGGCAAAGACCCGAAACUCUGAUAGCAUAAUAUCUGCUGCAUGGCAAGUAGUCGAUAGGCUUCGUAUCUGAUCGGGGUUUCAAAGCAGGUUAUUUAUGGAGCAGUUGAAAGGAAAAUGUUGCAUGCUGACUUUAUCCAACCCCUCUUUUUUCCCCCCAAAACACAUGUUUAUGCUGAAAUGUAGUACUGCUUGCCUGUGUGGCUGUGCUUGUUUAGCUGAUUAUUUGCAAAGUGAAGGGGAAGAUGGGAGGGAAUUUUGAUCUACAUGGUUAUCUGUUCUAGCUUUCUUAUCUACACAACUCAUGCAUUUCAUUCAUGAGACAAAUAUAUGAGAACGACUGUCUUCAAGGUGUAUUAUUUCCACUUCUGAUGCUUGCAAUGGUAAAGAUGAGUUGCCUGUA
Musa acuminata AAA Group (dessert banana) is the source of this 569-nucleotide long non-coding RNA. RefSeq lists it as uncharacterized. NCBI's taxonomy places the organism in Eukaryota, Viridiplantae, Streptophyta, Magnoliopsida, Zingiberales, Musaceae. The transcript has 2 exons. The record is from RefSeq and is a predicted model, not a curated record.